UACGUAGGGGGCAAGCGUUGUCCGGAAUUAUUGGGCGUAAAGCGCGUGUAGGCGGCUCGGUAAGUCUGCUGUGAAAGUCCAGGGCUCAACCCUGGAAUGCCGGUGGAUACUGUCGAGCUCGAGUCCGGAAGAGGCGAGUGGAAUUCCUGGUGUAGCGGUGAAAUGCGUAGAUAUCGGGAGGAACACCAGUGGCGAAGGCGGCUUUCUGGUCUGCUCUUGACGCUGAGGCGCGAAAGCUAGGGUAGCAAACGGG
Molecule: ribosomal RNA, 253 nt
Filed under: uncultured bacterium
Lineage: Bacteria
Description: partial 16S ribosomal RNA
Rfam family: Bacterial small subunit ribosomal RNA
Source: RNAcentral